Molecule: ribosomal RNA, 500 nt
Filed under: uncultured bacterium
Lineage: Bacteria
Description: partial 16S ribosomal RNA
Rfam family: Bacterial small subunit ribosomal RNA
Source: RNAcentral
AUUGAACGCUGGCGGCAUGCUUUACACAUGCAAGUCGAACGGUAACAGGGUGCUUGCACCGCUGACGAGUGGCGAACGGGUGGGUAAUGCGUCGGAACGUGCCGAGUAGUGGGGGAUAACGCAGCGAAAGUUGUGCUAAUACCGCAUACGUACUGAGGUAGAAAGCGGGGGACCUUCGGGCCUCACGCUAUUCGAGCGGCCGACGUCUGAUUAGCUAGUAGGUGAGGUAAAGGCUCACCUAGGCGACGAUCAGUAGCGGGUCUGAGAGGAUGAUCCGCCACACUGGGACUGAGACACGGCCCAGACUCCUACGGGAGGCAGCAGUGGGGAAUUUUGGACAAUGGGCGAAAGCCUGAUCCAGCCAUGCCGCGUGUCUGAAGAAGGCCUUCGGGUUGUAAAGGACUUUUGUCAGGGAGGAAAUCCCUAGUGCUAAUAACACUGGGGGAUGACAGUACCUGAAGAAUAAGCACCGGCUAACUACGUGCCAGCAGCCGCCGCGG